RNAcentral lists this transfer RNA (73 nucleotides) under Gemmatimonadales bacterium. RNAcentral's name for it is "tRNA-Thr". It matches the Rfam family "tRNA". From Rfam's summary of the family: Transfer RNA (tRNA) molecules are approximately 80 nucleotides in length. Their secondary structure includes four short double-helical elements and three loops (D, anti-codon, and T loops). Further hydrogen bonds mediate the characteristic L-shaped molecular structure. tRNAs have two regions of fundamental functional importance: the anti-codon, which is responsible for specific mRNA codon recognition, and the 3' end, to which the tRNAs corresponding amino acid is attached (by aminoacyl-tRNA synthetases). tRNAs cope with the degeneracy of the genetic code in two manners: having more than one tRNA (with a specific anti-codon) for a particular amino acid; and 'wobble' base-pairing, i.e. permitting non-standard base-pairing at the 3rd anti-codon position. The record is from RNAcentral. Lineage: Bacteria; Pseudomonadati; Gemmatimonadota; Gemmatimonadia; Gemmatimonadales.
GCCCUCGUAGCUCAAGCGGUAGAGCAGCCGCCUCGUAAGCGGCCGGUCGCAGGUUCGACUCCUGCUGAGGGCU